GACACGGAGAUGGUUAAUAGGGACAGCGUUUAUUUCACAAGGAGGCAUUAGUAUUUAAUUUCCAGAGGUGAAAUUCUUUGAAAUAUUAAAGACUAACUUAUGCGAAAGCAUCGUUUGCCAAUGAUGUUUUCAUUAAUCAUUGAACGAAAGUUAGGGGAUCAAAGACGAUCAGAUACCGUCCUAGUCUUAACCAUAAACGUUGCCGACUAGGGAUCGGAGGGCGUGCACAAUCCGCCUUCGGCACCUUACGAGAAAUCAAAGUCUUUUGGGUUCUGUGGGUAGUAUGGUCGCAAGGCUGAACUUAAAGGAAUUGACGGAAGGGCACCACCAGGAGUGGAGCUUGCGGCUCAAUUUGACUCAACACGGGAAAUCUUACCAGGUCCAGACAUAGCGAGGAUUGACAGAUUGAUAGCUCUUUCUUGAUUCUAU
Molecule: ribosomal RNA, 429 nt
Filed under: uncultured eukaryote
Lineage: Eukaryota
Description: SSU rRNA
Rfam family: Eukaryotic small subunit ribosomal RNA
Source: RNAcentral